This is a long non-coding RNA of Pyrus x bretschneideri (Chinese white pear), 540 nucleotides long. RefSeq lists it as uncharacterized. The record is from RefSeq and is a predicted model, not a curated record. The transcript has 3 exons. NCBI's taxonomy places the organism in Eukaryota, Viridiplantae, Streptophyta, Magnoliopsida, Rosales, Rosaceae.
UUCCCGUAUAGACCUCUCUCUUCCCUCUCGCUCAUCUCUCCUUCUCUCUUUCCCGUAGACAUCUCUCUCCCUCUCGUUCGCAAGCUUUCCUCUUCACAAUCUUGAACAAUCUGUGCAAGUUCUCUAGCAAAUACAAACUCGCAUCUCCAGUUUUGCAGGGGGCCUGAAGCUCCAGGGCAGCUGUAUUCUCUUCCCUUAGGGUUUGGAAGAGUUCGUCCUGCUGCGAGUCAACCUUACCCUUCUGCAAGAGUCCAUGGCUCCAAGGCAGCUGCAUUCACCUCAUUUGGUCUUUGAAAGAGCUUGUCCUGCUGCAAGUCAUUCUUACCCAUCUGCAGGAGUCCAUAGGUACGACAAUCCCUUUAAUUGUACAUUCAGUAUUCUGUGUUUAAGAUGAUUUGAGAAAACCAAUUACAUUUAGAAGCGGACUUGUCAUUAGUCGGAAAAAAUUGUGUUAUUGUCCAAUGCCAUGUGAAGUAGAAUUGACUAGCUUUAGAUAAUUGGCAUUUUAAUUUCUAAGUUGUAGCAGUGUUGUGUGUGUUU